This 1629-nucleotide long non-coding RNA is filed under the name Homo sapiens (human). Its description in RNAcentral is "non-protein coding lnc-PERM1-1:1". The record is from RNAcentral. Lineage: Eukaryota; Metazoa; Chordata; Mammalia; Primates; Hominidae.
CAUGGUGAAGCCCUAUCUCUACUAAAAAAUACAAAAAGUUAGCCGGGCAUGGUGGCAGGCGGCUGGAAUCCCCGCUACUCAGAAGGGUGAGGCAGGAGAAUCGCUUGAACCUGGGAGGCAGAGGUUGCAGUGAGCCAAGAUCACGCCAUUUCACUCCAGCCUGGGCGACAGAGUGAGACUCCGUCUCAAAAAAACAAAAACAAAGCAAAACAAAACAGAAUGGAUGACAGACAUAAGAGCUAAAACUAUAAAACUUUUAGAAGAAAAUAUAGCAGUAAAUUGUCAUGAUCUUGGGUUUGGAAAGACCUUGGGCAAAAGUCUUCUUAGGUAGGAUACUGCUGUGGUUUGGAUAUGGCCCCAAAAGCUCAUGUGCCGGGAGCUUGACCCCCAUGUGGAAGUGUUGGGAGGUGGGACCUUUAAGAGGUGUUUAGCUUAUGGAGGCUCUGCCCUCACGAAGAGAUGAACGCUGGUAUCGUGGGAGUGGGUUCCUCAUGGAAGGGGGGUCCAGCCCCUCCUGCUCUCCCACUCUGUCUUCUUUGUCCAGGGAUGACACAGAAGGAAGGAGCUCAUCAGACGCCAGCACCUUCAUCUGCAUUUCCCAGCCUCCAGAACUGUGAGAAAUAAAUUUCUGUUCAUUAUAAAUUACCCAGUCUCAGAUAUCCUAUUAAGGCAGCACAAAAUAGACUAAAACAGAUACCAGAAGCAUAAGUGACCAAAGAAAAAAAUUAGACAUCAUCAAAAUUUAAAACUUAUGUUUCAAAUGGCAUUAUCAAAAAGUGAAAAGACAUCACAUAUGGGAGGAAACGUUGGCAAAAUAUAUAUUGACAAGGAAAUUACCCAGAAUUCCAAACACAAUCAACCCCGAACUUCAGAAAACAUUCAAUCCUGAACUCCACAGUCAACCCAGAACUGCAGAAACAGUCAACCCCGAAUUCCAGAAACAAUCAACCCUGAACUCCAGAAAAAAUCAACCCAGAACUCCAGAAACAAUCAACCCAGAACUCCAGAAACAAUCAACCCAGAACUCCAGAAACAAUCAACCCCAAAUUCCAGAAACAAUCAACCCUGAACUCCAGAAACAGUCAACCCAGAACUCCAGAAACAAUCAACCACGAACUCCAGAAACAAUCAACCCCAAACUCUAGAAACAAUCAACCACGAACUCCAGAAAGUCAACCCCAAACUCCAGAAACAAUCAACCCUGAACUCCAGGAACAAUCAACCCAGAACUCCAGAAACAGUCAACCCCAAACUCCAGAAACAAUCAACCCUGAACUCCAGAAACAAUUAACCCAGAACACCAGAAAUAAUCAACCCUGAACUCCAGAAACAAUCAACCCUGAACCCCAGAAACAAUCAACCCAGAACUCCCGAAACACUCCACCCAGAACUCCAGAAACUAUCAACCCUGAACUCCAGAAACAAUCAACCCUGAACGCCAGAAACAAUCAACCCUAAACGCCAGAAACAAUCAACCCCGAACUCCAGAAACAAUCAACCCAGAACUCCAGAAAUGGGCCAGCCCAUGGAUGGAUGGUCAGCUGCUUUUGACAAAGACAAUUCAAUAGAGAAAGGAGAGUCUUUUCUUUUCUUUUCUUUCUUUUUUUUUUUUUUUGAGAUGGAGUCUCC